Lemur catta (Ring-tailed lemur) is the source of this 749-nucleotide long non-coding RNA. RefSeq lists it as uncharacterized. The record is from RefSeq and is a predicted model, not a curated record. The transcript is spliced from 2 exons. Lineage: Eukaryota; Metazoa; Chordata; Mammalia; Primates; Lemuridae.
UCACUCACUACCCUUUGGAGCAACUUGGAUCCAGUCCAGUCCAGAAAUAUGAAGACCAAAAUAUGUGCAGUAGAAUCCUAAGAUGGCCCCGUGACGCCUGGCCCUGCUGUCCACACAGGUACAGUUUCCUCCCCGUGAGUGUGGGCACGACUGUGAAGAUGAUAGAAGUCAGUCCUGUGAUCAGGUUAUAUGGCAAAAGGGAAAGGGUUCUGAAGAUGAAAUUAAGGCCCCUACUCAGUUAGACUUUGAGGUUAUCGAAGGGGGGAGAUCCCGUGGUGGGCCUGGCCUAAUCAGGGAAGCCUCUUAAAACGGGGUCAGACCUCUGAGGUCAGAGAGAUUCUACCAGCCACCUUCACAAAGAACGAAGGCUUCUCGCGUUCUAUAGCGGCAAGGAAACGGACUCAGCAAAGAGGACCCUGUGCCUCAGAUGAAACGGCCUCAGCAAAGAGGACCCUGUGCCUCAGAUGAGGCCAAGGCUGAGGCCAACACCUCAACUGCAGCCUGGCGCAGAGGACCCAGGUGAGCCGGGCCACACGCCUGAUCCAUGCAAACUGUGAGAUAAUAACGGUGUGCCGCUCUGAGCCGCGACGUUGGUGGUAAUUUGUUCACAGUAACAGAAAACGAACACACCAUGUUUCGUUCUGAACUUUGGACAACAGGGAAUUUGGAUGCAAAUAUGGACUCACGUUUUUCACAUCUUUACAGUAAAUAUAUAUUAAUUUUGCUAUUAAAUAGAGGCAAAUGCUAAA